Molecule: ribosomal RNA, 442 nt
Filed under: uncultured bacterium
Lineage: Bacteria
Description: bacterial SSU rRNA
Rfam family: Bacterial small subunit ribosomal RNA
Source: RNAcentral
GCUAAACGCGAAGAACCUUACCUGGUCUUGACAUGCACUGUGUCUCCCGUGAAAGCGGGAUAGGAUAGCAAUAUCCGCUUUGCACAGGUGCUGCAUGGCUGUCGUCAGCUCGUGUCGUGAGAUGUUGGGUUAAGUCCCGCAGCGAGCGCAACCCCUGUGGUUUGUUGCCACCCGGUUUACCGGAGCACUCGAACCAGACUGCCUCGAUCAACGAGGAGGAAGGUGGGGAUGACGUCAAGUCCGUAUGGCCCUUACGACCAGGGCUGCACACGUACUACAAUGCCCAGCACAAUGUGAACCGAAACCGCGAGGUGGAGGAAAUCAGCAAAACUGGGCUCAGUUCAGAUUGCAGUCUGCAACUCGACUGCAUGAAGUUGGAAUCGCUAGUAAUGGUACAUCAGCUACGGUACCGUGAAUACGUUCCCGGGUCUUGUACACACCG